AUUCCAGCUCCAAAAGUGUAUAUUUAAGUUGUUGCGGUUAAAAAGCUCGUAGUUGGAUUUUGGGCUCGGUCGUUCGGUCCGUCGCAAGGCGUGCACUGUUCGUUCCGUCCUUACCUUCGGUUUUCCGCCGGUGCUCUUGACUGAGUGUCGACGGCGGCCGAGACGUUUACUUUGAAAAAAUUAGAGUGUUUAAAGCAGGCGGUUCGCCUGGAUAAUGGUGCAUGGAAUAAUGGAAUAGGACCUCGGUUCUUUUUUGUUGGUUUACAGAACGCGAGGUAAUGAUUAAGAGGGACAGACGGGGGCAUUCGUACUGUGCCGUUAGAGGUGAAAUUCUUGGAUCGGCGCAAGACGAACGACUGCGAAAGCAUUUGCCAAGAAUGUUUUCAUUA
This 389-nucleotide ribosomal RNA is filed under the name Corella sp. (in: basidiomycete fungi). Its description in RNAcentral is "Corella sp. (in: Fungi) partial small subunit ribosomal RNA". It matches the Rfam family "Eukaryotic small subunit ribosomal RNA", at positions 582 to 975 of the family's 1831-position model. Lineage: Eukaryota; Fungi; Basidiomycota; Agaricomycetes; Agaricales; Hygrophoraceae. The record is from RNAcentral.